RNAcentral lists this unclassified non-coding RNA (340 nucleotides) under Hevea brasiliensis (rubber tree). Lineage: Eukaryota; Viridiplantae; Streptophyta; Magnoliopsida; Malpighiales; Euphorbiaceae. The record is from RNAcentral.
AUUUAUCAGCUGAGCGUGAAAGCUACAACACAUCAAUUCAAGAACAAGAAAUGAGACAAUUACUCAACUGAAUUGGAUUUAUCCACUGUUUGGUAACUGAGAAUAGUGAGGAAAAAGAAAGAAAAUAAACAAAAUUUCGAAACCCGUUUUCUAUAAUGUCAGAAUCCUUAAAGAAGUGAAAGAUUUAUCUAUAAUUAAGACUACCAUCUCUAUCAGUUUCUCUAUCUCUUCGAAAAAUUCCCUCUACUUUCCCACAUUUUCUCAGUGAUCAAACAAUGUAAAAGAAAAGAGAAAACAACGAAGUUGAGAAUAGAAACCUUUGAAGUUGGAGUUAUUCUAA